This is an unclassified non-coding RNA of Cricetulus griseus (Chinese hamster), 265 nucleotides long. Its record names the gene 7SK. It matches the Rfam family "7SK RNA". Rfam says of the family: 7SK was discovered as an abundant small nuclear RNA in the mid-70s but a possible function has only recently been suggested. Two independent studies have found that 7SK RNA binds the CDK9/cyclin T complex (known as elongation factor P-TEFb). The record is from Ensembl. NCBI's taxonomy places the organism in Eukaryota, Metazoa, Chordata, Mammalia, Rodentia, Cricetidae.
GUUUGCAAAGGUGAUUUGGCUGUGUCGUUUGUCACCACAUUGAUCACCAGGGUUGAUUCUGUUGACUAACCUGGACUAGGUGAGUAUCCAAAGCCUCCUGCACGGCUACAUGCGUGGUCUGUGGAAGAGGACCACUUACUCUGAUGAAAGAAGACUGUGGUAAGGUCUAAGUGCAAGUGUGCCAAGAACUGCUAUGAAUUCAGCCAAGCAAAAUUGGAAAGUAUUUAAAGCAUAGAGCUAGGCAUGGUGGUACAUGCCUGUAAUC